This 329-nucleotide unclassified non-coding RNA is filed under the name soil metagenome. Its description in RNAcentral is "partial contains 5.8S ribosomal RNA, internal transcribed spacer 2, and large subunit ribosomal RNA". The stretch from base 1 to 120 matches the Rfam family "5.8S ribosomal RNA", at positions 35 to 154 of the family's 154-position model. The record is from RNAcentral.
GAUGAAGAACGUAGCGAAAUGCGAUAUGUAAUGUGAAUUGCAGAAUUCAGUGAAUCAUCGAAUCUUUGAACGCACAUUGCGCCCCUUGGUAUUCCGAGGGGCAUGCCUGUUCGAGCGUCAUUAUAACCCCUCAAGCUCAGCUUGGUGUUGGGGCCUGCUGCACUGGCAGCCCUUAAAAUCAGUGGCGGCGCCAUCUGGCUCUAAGCGCAGUAAUUCUUCUCGCUAUGGAGUCCUGGUGGAUGCUUGCCAUCAACCCCCAAUUUUUCUAUGGUUGACCUCGGAUCAGGUAGGGAUACCCGCUGAACUUAAGCAUAUCAAUAAGCGGAGGA